This 949-nucleotide unclassified non-coding RNA is filed under the name Hevea brasiliensis (rubber tree). The record is from RNAcentral. Lineage: Eukaryota; Viridiplantae; Streptophyta; Magnoliopsida; Malpighiales; Euphorbiaceae.
CCAUCUUCAUCUUCUUCAUCAUCAUCUACGUUUCUUCAAUCUACUGUUGCUUUGAGACUGUGAACUCUGCUAGAGAAGUUUUGCGCUACAUUUACGCAUGGUAUCUUGUGCAAUGAGCUGAAGUUCAUCCAGCAAAUCCACUUAAACGGAGUAUGUUUUUGUACCGAUUUCUUUAGUUGAUGGGGUUGGUUAGAUUUUUCGCCACUUCCAAAGAUAUCAAGAGUUUUAGCUGCUAAAAUCUGUUGGUUUGGAAGGUCUAUUUUCAGAAAUGCCUUCUCUUCAGCUUCUGCAGUUGACUGAACAUGGGCGAGGCCUCUUGGCUUCUAAAAGGAAAGCUCUGCUGCUUACGACAGGUAUAAUCGUUGCUGGUGGAACAGCUGCCGCGUACAUGCAGUCACGGAAAACCUAUAAGGGGCAUGAUUCUUUGCAGUGUGAUGGAGUGAAUGAUGGUAUAAUAGAGCCAAAUAAGCAGACUGGAAAGGGUAAUAAUGUGAAGAAAAGCAGGCAAAAGAAAGGAGGUUUGAAGUCUGUAAAAGUUUUAGCAGCUAUUCUUCUAUCUCGAAUGGGCAGAAUGGGUACGAGAGAUCUGUUGGCUCUGGUAGCCACAGUGGUGUUACGAACUGCUGUAAGCAACCGAUUGGCAAAAGUGCAGGGGUUCCUUUUUCGUUCUGCCUUCCUCCGGCGUGUGCCAAUGUUUUUCCGCCUCAUACUUGAAAAUAUUUUGUUGUGUUUCCUCCAGUCAGCCUUGCACUCGACCUCUAAAUAUAUAACUGGGACCUUGAGUUUACGCUUCCGGAGUAUUUUAACAAGGCUUAUUCAUGCACAGUAUUUUCAGGAUAUGGUGUACUAUAAACUGUCCCAUGUUGACGGCCGGAUAGCAAAUCCAGAACAGAGAAUUGCAAGUGAUGUUCCCAGGUUCUCUAGAGAGCUAAGUGAUCUUGUACAAGAG